UACAGAGGAUGCGAGCGUUAAUCGGAAUUACUGGGCGUAAAGCGCACGUAGUCGGCUUUGCAAGUCGGGUGUGAAAUCCCCGGGCUCAACCUGGGAACUGCAUCCGAGACUGCAUUGCUAGAGUAUGGGAGAGGGAAGCGGAAUUUCUGGUGUAGCAGUGAAAUGCGUAGAUAUCAGAAGGAACAUCAGUGGCGAAGGCGGCUUCCUGGACCAAUACUGACGAUCAGGUGCGAAAGCGUGGGGAGCAAACAGG
RNAcentral lists this ribosomal RNA (253 nucleotides) under uncultured bacterium. Its description in RNAcentral is "partial 16S ribosomal RNA". It matches the Rfam family "Bacterial small subunit ribosomal RNA", at positions 524 to 776 of the family's 1533-position model. The record is from RNAcentral.